CCCUUAGAUGUUCUGGGCCGCACGCGUGUUACACUGAGUGGAUCAGCGGGUCAGGUUGCGCGAAAGUGUUUCCUAAUCUUUAAAUCCGCUCGUGAUGGGGAUUGACGGUUGCAAUUUUCCGUCAUGAACGAGGAAUACCUUGUAAGCGCGGGUCAUCAUCCCGCGCUGAAUACGUCCCUGCCCUUUGUACACACCGCCCGUCGCUCCUACCGAUUGAGUGGUCCGGUGAGGCUUUGGGAUCUGAGCGGAAAGAGCGUUUCGCUGUUUCUGCCCGGAAAACUCAGUCGAACCUUAUCAUUUAGAGGAAGGAGAAGUCGUAACA
This 322-nucleotide ribosomal RNA is filed under the name uncultured eukaryote. Its description in RNAcentral is "partial 18S ribosomal RNA". It matches the Rfam family "Eukaryotic small subunit ribosomal RNA", at positions 1470 to 1796 of the family's 1831-position model. The record is from RNAcentral.